AAGACCCUAAAAAUACUAAGUUCUAAAGGAGCUCUGUACAAAAGAGACCGAAGCUCCAUUUUUCUUCUUCCCUCUUCUCGAUUCUCUCUGCAAAAGCUACAUUACUUCUUGAAGUUUCUCAAAUUAAAUCUUUCAGUUUUGUUUAAUCACAAGAUGUGAACCUAAUUUAUGAAACCCAAAAGCCCUAAGACCACUUGUUUUCUAAGAUUGUAUUCAAAUCAGGAGUAUAAAGUAAUUUCCCCCCCACUUUCCUUCGUGUACAGCCCUUUCUCGGUGUUGAUGAUCUCUUUCGCUGGGAGGGUCCAAAUGACAGGAUGAGGUAAAGGUCGAAGUGGAACUGGUCGUGGACGUGUCCAUUUUCAAGGACGUGGUAAUUCUAGAGUGAUGCCUCAGUCACAAGUACAACCAAUAGGGAAUACUACAGCAUCUCCUAAGAUAGGAGAAUCAAAUAAUCUCAGUCAAGAACCUCUAGACAGAGGACAAGUAUCAAGUAACCCUUGGCAGAGACCUUCUCUAAAGAUAGUAUCGUCAAGGAAUCUGGAUAGAAGUGUGCUUCCUCUCCUGAAGUUGAAAAUGGUGCAGGUUAGGUUUUGUUUUACUAAUUCUCUUUACUUAUUGCAAAAUAUAAUACUGGUAUAUGUUGGAUUGAUACGUGUUUAUCCCAAAUUGGGAUUAAUUUUACGAGGCAUAUGACGUGUUUGAUAAAAUACCUUAGAGAAAUCUUUGUUUAUAUUCUAUGCAGCUUUGAGAAUGCUAGCUUAUUUUAUGUUAUUGUUGUAAAGAAGUGUCAUCUUACGUUAAAUUUGGAUUUGUUUCGGACGUUUAUAUUCUGAUGUAAUUCUGAAAUUCUGGAUAUGCAAAAUUUGGUUGGACAAUUUUAGAAAUAGGAGAAAAUUCAGACUCCUAAGUGUUUAUGUUGAGUAGAAUCUAAUGCAUCUAAUGAUUGGCAAAAAAUAUAUUUUGGUAAAUUUUGGUGUGUGCUUUAACUCUUUAUAUGUUACCAUUUUGGCUAGCAUGAACCUCUCAUUCUUGGUGUCAUUUCUUUGGAAUUGGUUUACAGUGAAGUAAAAAAGAACCAACUUUAGGAUAUGUGGCUGCAAGAGAAUACCAUUGGGAGUUGACAUCAGCUUCCCCCGUCAAUUUGUUGUAUAUGUGGCUGAAUUUAUGUUAUAUUUCGCUGUGUCUAUUCAGAAAGUAACGAAGAAAACAUGUACUAUUCAACUAACUUUAGGAUAUGUGGCUGGAAGAGAAUACCAUUCAAGUAAUCUUUUCAAGUAUUUGUUCGCAUCUCCUAAAGUAGUUCUGCCUAAGGAUCUAAACCAUAGUUGAUAUGUUCUUGUAUAUAAUUUUUUUUCUCCUCAAUGUUACCUUCAAGCUAAAACAAAAGAAUUUUAAUUAAAGUUGAAUUCUGCCUGAAACAUUUCCACCUUGAAUUCUGCCUGAAACAUUUCCACCUUAAUAGAUGCACAAACGCGAACCAUAAAAAAAUAUUACACUUAUGCUCAUGUUUCUAUUUUAUUGUUUUCUUGACUUCUUUUUAGCUAUUCGUGUACUUGAUUUUUUGGUAAUAGAUGUGUUGCGUCGUUAUUGAAUGUCAUAAUUGCACUGAUAUGUGUCCACCUUCAGUAAAUGCAUUUUCUUUUCCAUCUACUGUAUGUCUUAUUCAAACUUGAAUGGCCAUAGCCAAUGCAACCCCAAAAUUCUUUAAGCCAGAGUGAAAAACUAGCACUCAACAUAGUGGUCUAUGGAUAGCUUUUGUUAAACAUGAGCUAAUGAGCAGGGAAAUGAUCAUACUUUGCAUUAGAUAAUACCGAAUAAGUGGAUGAAGAGCUGCACUACCAAAAAAAGUAGGAAUUAAACACAUUAUAAACUUCCCAAAUUCAUGUAAAAUCUUAGGAUCUUGUCCGACUAACAUGAGCAAUCAUCCUACGUAUAGCCAUAACAUUGAAAAGGUGAUGCAAAUAAUAAAGAGACAGAAUAUAGCAGUGUAUGUUUGUGUUCCAAUUUUCUUGUAUUGCUUUGCUCCAUAAGCCUGUCCACAGAGAAUACUAGCCAUUCCUAGCUGCAAAUCACAUGUAAUAAGAGCUUUUCAGCUAACUAAAACAAAAUUAGCAUCAACUGCAUUUCCUAUUCAAACUUGAAGCUAUACUUAGGAGACGUGGUUAAUGGUUGAAAUUGUCAUAAUAUAUUUUUCCACUUCUAUGUCAUCCAUUGUACUAUUAGCAUUAGAUUAUGAGCAUUGUCAAACUGAUCUUGUGUUUUUUUCGUGUAAUAACUGGAACACGGUUCUUAAACAAUGAAGACAAUGAAGAAGAAGGCACUUAGUAUUUUGCUUUUUUGGGAUGUAUAUGCAUACAAUGGCAAUGAAGUAUUCUGCAUUAUAUAUGUAAUUCGCAUUUUAGCAAUGGAAGUAUUUAAUAUCCGACUUAAGAAAUUCUUUUGGUGUUUGUAAAAUACUAUUGAAUGCGUUAAUAUAAUUUUGGCCAUUAGAGUUGCUGAAUUAAAUAGGUUUCAUUGGUGGCAAAAUCUUAUUCAGAAAAUUAUUUGUUGCAAUAUUGGAAGUUGCCACUGAUUGUUUAACAGUUUUUGUAGCAAUUAUCACCGCCACUAAAUGUCAUUCUCCAGCAGCGAGCUCGCGACAUCAAUUGCUACUAAAAGUAACUCUCCAGUAGCGAUAUGAGAGUUGCUGCUAAUAGCUAAUUGUUUAUGUGGCGACUUAAGUUGCUACUAAAAGCAACUUCUAGUAGCGAUAAAGUAGCUGCCACCGAUAGUCAUUUAUUUUUGUGGCGACAAUUGUCGCUGCUAAAUGUCACUCUUCAGUGGUGGCUUGCCCCUGAAUCUGUUUGGUGGAACUACCUUUUGUGGCGAUUUGGCUUACUUUUUGUAGCGAUAAUGUUGCCACAAAAUAUCACCAUUCUGUUGUAACAACCUGUAGUCGUCACAAAUAACAUUUAGUAAUGGACUUAAUUGCAGCAAGUCCAAUGUCGCUACUAUAAACAUUUAGUGGCGACAUAUGAUGAUUUCGUAGCGACAUGGUCGCUAUCUUAUUUUAUUCUUACCAUUUUUUCUGAUCAGUGGAUGCCAUUUUCUAGUGCGUGUCUUCAUUUUCUUGCAAGAUCGAAAUUUGAGGACAAAUUUUCUUCAAGAAGAGGGGAAUGAUAGCAUCCUAGGAAGCUCAAAUAUAUUCAAGGACAAGGAUGAAGCUUUGGAAUCUCAAAGAUAGCCUUUAACAAGAUCUCAAGCUAAAAAGUUGCAAAACAAGGUCAUUGAACUUAGGAACGAUCAAAGUUGUUAGUCAGGAGGAAGAGCUUAAGGAUAAAUGAUAUGAGCUAACUAGGUGUUAUAAUUAUUUUAUGGCCCAAAUUCAUGUCCAAUAAUGUAUGGAUUAGAUCGAAGGAAAUAUCCUCUAAAGAAGGUCCAAAUCAUGCCACUGUUGAACCAAUUUAGCACCUAAAAUGUGUCCAAACUUGCAGCUCAUGAAGUCCUACAUAAAGCCAGAUUUUCAUAGCAUAAAAAGGACUUACUUGAUGUCCAAGAAUGGUACAAUAGUCGUGUUAGAUGUUGAGUGCAAGUUGGUGCCAGGUUGCUUGCAAAUUUCCAUCAAGAUUUUCAAGAUUCUAUCAAAGAUUGGUUUGGGAUUUAUUUCCAUAUAUUAUGGGACUA
This is a long non-coding RNA of Nicotiana tabacum (common tobacco), 3663 nucleotides long. RefSeq lists it as uncharacterized. NCBI's taxonomy places the organism in Eukaryota, Viridiplantae, Streptophyta, Magnoliopsida, Solanales, Solanaceae. The record is from RefSeq and is a predicted model, not a curated record.